This 400-nucleotide ribosomal RNA is filed under the name uncultured bacterium. RNAcentral describes it as "bacterial SSU rRNA". It matches the Rfam family "Bacterial small subunit ribosomal RNA", at positions 32 to 424 of the family's 1533-position model. The record is from RNAcentral.
AAUCAACGCUGGCGGCGUGCCUCAGACAUGCAAGUCGAACGAUUAAAGCUCUCUUCGGAGAGUGUAUAGAGUGGCGCACGGGCGAGUAACACGUAAGUAAUCUACCUUUGAGUGGGGAAUAACGUCCGGAAACGGACGCUAAUACCGCAUAAUGCAGCGGCAUCGCAAGAUGACAGUUGUUAAAGAUUUAUCGCUUGAAGAGGAGCUUGCGGCAGAUUAGCUAGUUGGUAAGGUAAUGGCUUACCAAGGCUACGAUCUGUAACCGGUCUAAGAGGACGGUCGGUCACACUGACACUGAAUAACGGGUCAGACUCCUACGGGAGGCAGCAGUCGGGAAUUUUGGGCAAUGGGCGAAAGCCUGACCCAGCAACGCCGCGUGAAGGAUGAAGUAUUUCGGUAU